GUCAGGAUGGCCGAGCAGUCUAAGGCGCAGCGUUCAGGUCGCAGUCUCCCCUGGAGGCGUGGGUUUGAAUCCCACUUCUGACA
This 83-nucleotide transfer RNA is filed under the name Danio rerio (zebrafish). RNAcentral describes it as "tRNA-Leu (CAG) (tRNA-Leu-CAG-117-1)". It matches the Rfam family "tRNA". Rfam says of the family: Transfer RNA (tRNA) molecules are approximately 80 nucleotides in length. Their secondary structure includes four short double-helical elements and three loops (D, anti-codon, and T loops). Lineage: Eukaryota; Metazoa; Chordata; Actinopteri; Cypriniformes; Danionidae. The record is from Rfam by way of RNAcentral.